AUGGUGGCACUUCGAUAUGCGGCGAGGACACUUGGUCGGUUCGCGCUCCGAAGACCACAGGGGUUCGGCAUCUCAUCAACUGCAGCGGAGGAUCAACAGCGGUUCCUGCCACGGCUCAUCAACACAAAUGGCCUCACAGCUGAGCAACAAAAAGAUGUUGCAAGCCGCCUAGUGCAAAUCGAUGGGAAGAAAGAGGAGCUGUACAAUAUGAUUUCUGGCCUUGAAAGGAGCUACAACGUUAGUGGCAAGAUAGUCCGGCAAAAUGGUCAGCUGGCGCGUCAUCUUGCUGUACUAGUCAAGCCUAAACCCAAUGACCCUUACUGGCGUUUGCAUUCAAGAUCACAAAGAAUUAUGGACUGCAUACAUUUUAUGGGGGGCUGUUGUUUAGGCCCUGUGAUUGUGAGUGGUUUUGCCUGGUGGAUGACAGAGGCACAUGCAGAAGAAAAAGAUGACAGUCUUGGAUGA
RNAcentral lists this ribosomal RNA (465 nucleotides) under Triticum aestivum (bread wheat). RNAcentral's name for it is "partial small subunit ribosomal RNA". Lineage: Eukaryota; Viridiplantae; Streptophyta; Magnoliopsida; Poales; Poaceae. The record is from RNAcentral.